RNAcentral lists this ribosomal RNA (372 nucleotides) under uncultured organism. Its description in RNAcentral is "bacterial SSU rRNA". It matches the Rfam family "Bacterial small subunit ribosomal RNA", at positions 526 to 896 of the family's 1533-position model. The record is from RNAcentral.
CGUAGGUGGCGAGCGUUGUCCGGAUUUACUGGGCGUAAAGAGCGCGCAGGCGGUCGUGCAAGUCGCGUGUGAAAGCCCCCGGCUCAACUGGGGAGGGUCACGCGAUACUGCUCGACUCGAAGGCAGGAGAGGGAAGUGGAAUUCCCGGUGUAGUGGUGAAAUGCGUAGAUAUCGGGAGGAACACCAGUGGCGAAGGCGACUUCCUGGCCUGUUCUUGACGCUGAGGCGCGAAAGCUAGGGUAGCAAACGGGAUUAGAUACCCCGGUAGUCCUAGCCGUAAACGAUGGACACUAGGUGUUGGUGGUAUCAACCCCGCCAGUGCCGAAGCUAACGCAUUAAGCACUCCGCCUGGGGAGUACGGCCGCAAGGCUG